AGUCUGCAACNCGACUGCACGAAGCUGGAAUCGCUAGUAAUCGCGGAUCAGCACGCCGCGGUGAAUACGUUCCCGGGCCUUGUACACACCGCCCGUCACACCAUGGAAGUCUGCAAUGCCCGAAGCCGGUGGCCUAACCACUUAUGUGGAAGGAGCCGUCUAAGGCAGGGCAGAUGACUGGGGUGAAGUCGUAACAAGGUAAC
Molecule: ribosomal RNA, 203 nt
Filed under: uncultured bacterium
Lineage: Bacteria
Description: partial 16S ribosomal RNA
Rfam family: Bacterial small subunit ribosomal RNA
Source: RNAcentral